This 68-nucleotide transfer RNA is filed under the name chicken gut metagenome. It matches the Rfam family "tRNA". Rfam says of the family: Transfer RNA (tRNA) molecules are approximately 80 nucleotides in length. Their secondary structure includes four short double-helical elements and three loops (D, anti-codon, and T loops). The record is from RNAcentral.
UGAUGUAGCUCAGUUGGUAGAGCACCGCAUUGGUAGUGCGGAGGUCUCGGGUUCAAAUCCCGUCAUCA